GGGAUGGCUGUGUCCCUCCAUGCAGGGGGGUUCGGCCCCGGUGCUGUGGGCAGGGGGCUCUGCCUGCCCUGCUCUGCCCUCCCCCACCUUGUCCUCUGGCCCCUGCUGCCCACCUGGGUGCUGGCAGUUGGGCUGAGGCUGUGGGGCUGCGGGCAGCACCGGGGGUCCCCUCCAUGCCCAGAGCAGUGCUGCGACCCACAGUGGGUGCUGCGGGACCAGGGAUGCGUGCCCCCCGCUGCAAUCCCGCUGCUGCCCGUCCCCUUCUCUCCUCUCUGGGUCAUCCUGGUAUGGGGACGUGCGGUUCAGCUGCUCAGCACAGCCCACAGCGCUGGAACUCCCGCAUCCCUACAGCCCCCAUCCACGCAGGUGGGGGGAGAGCCCCUUCCCUGCUGUGUUGGGCGUGCAGGCGGUGGGGCCCCGCCGCAGUGCAUGGUGCUGUGCUCCAAGGGAAGCUCGGCUGCGGCGUGGGCCCCCCCCCCCCGGGGUGGGCAGCGACGCGUGCCGGAGGGACGGGCUGCCUGGAAAGCUGCGUGAGCGGGGCUGCGUCCUUCCUUUCCACCCGACGCUUUCGCCUGCCACUUGCAUCUCCUGCUGCCAGAUGGAGGGUGGGGAGCGGAGCAUCGCGUCCCUGCCGGCGCCUCUGCUCCUGGGGGAGCGCUUUCCGGGAGGGGCCGGGCGCUGCCGUCCCCCCGCCACGCUCAGCCGUGCUGUGUUUCCACGGUCCCACAGGAAAAAAAACUCACCCCAACCCGGCGGCAGCCCCAGGAUUCCCCCCCGUGGGACUGAUCCGUGGGGCAGAGCCGCCCCCCGUCCUGCCCAUACCCAAACCUGAACCCGCGGUGCCCGGCCUCGCAGCCCCACGUUGCACCAUGGGGGCAGCCCAGGGCGGGGGGCUUGUGUGGGGCGGGGGCAGAGCUCCUCCACCCAUAGCAAGGCUUCCUGGCACCGGAGGGCACCGCGGUGUGGGAAGGGCAGCAGAGCGCGGUGUGUCCUUGCGCUGUGCCGCCCUUGGGUGGCUCGAAGGCCGCGUCCUCGCGACUUCCUUCUCCCGGGGGGGAGCGCUGCUGUAAUGAUUAACCUGCGCCGUCCUGUCCCGCAGUCUGUUUUCCUCAUGGUUUCCAGCUCUGGAAAAUGCUCUUCCCCCGCCCGCCACCCACGCACGCUGCCCUGUCCCCGUGCACGAGGAAAGUCCCAUCCGGACGCAUGCACUGCGGAGAUGGGGNNNNNNNNNNNNNNNNNNNNNNNNNNNNN
RNAcentral lists this long non-coding RNA (1251 nucleotides) under Numida meleagris (helmeted guineafowl). RNAcentral describes it as "lncRNA (ENSNMEG00000003280.1)". Lineage: Eukaryota; Metazoa; Chordata; Aves; Galliformes; Numididae. The record is from RNAcentral.